UGGUCCGUUGGUCAAGGGGUUAAGACACCGCCUUUUCACGGCGGUAACACUGGUUCGAAUCCCGUACGGACUAU
RNAcentral lists this transfer RNA (74 nucleotides) under Streptococcus agalactiae. Its description in RNAcentral is "tRNA-Glu". It matches the Rfam family "tRNA". From Rfam's summary of the family: Transfer RNA (tRNA) molecules are approximately 80 nucleotides in length. Their secondary structure includes four short double-helical elements and three loops (D, anti-codon, and T loops). Further hydrogen bonds mediate the characteristic L-shaped molecular structure. tRNAs have two regions of fundamental functional importance: the anti-codon, which is responsible for specific mRNA codon recognition, and the 3' end, to which the tRNAs corresponding amino acid is attached (by aminoacyl-tRNA synthetases). tRNAs cope with the degeneracy of the genetic code in two manners: having more than one tRNA (with a specific anti-codon) for a particular amino acid; and 'wobble' base-pairing, i.e. permitting non-standard base-pairing at the 3rd anti-codon position. Lineage: Bacteria; Bacillati; Bacillota; Bacilli; Lactobacillales; Streptococcaceae. The record is from RNAcentral.